UCUCUCUCUGUCCCUCCCCCACUCAUGCUCUGUCUCUGUCUCAAAAAUAAAUAAACUAUAAAAAAAAUAAAUUUCAGGCUUUUUAAGGUAAGAGGUUUACCUAUAAAAAGGAUAACCCAGAUGGAAGAAAAAAGAGGCAGAAAAUAAAGCUACACAAUAAGUGUUUAGAAAAAUAAUCCAGAUGGGACAAAUGUGAAAGCAGACUUCUGUGAGUACGGUUAAGAAUCCUAAUGCAAAGAGAAAAAAAACAAAACACAUACACACAUAAUGGUGCUUAUUGGUUGAUUAAAACUAGCUAAUGGCACUUGACAAUUGUGUCCUCUAUUACGAUUUGGAAAAAAGUAUAAUCAUUAGUGAUAUGUAAACGUUUAUAGCCCACCAAAACUGGGUUGGGAACAGGCUUGUAAAUUGUCCUUUGAAGCAUGAGGAAGGAGUAAGAUUUAUUUGAGUAGCUUCAACUCCCUUAAUGGGAAAAAUAAGAACUGAAGUAAUAAGCACCUAACCCCAAGGGGUCCCGGUGUAGCUUUGAACAGCAGGAAUUGCUGUCAGUGCCAGGAUUUAUUUUAGUAAAAAAACCCAAAACACAACUAUGCAGUAUACAAAGAACUUUGGCUCCUCUGAGGACAUCCUAGUAUACAAUUAAAUCCAAACACCCAUACUUUGACCUCACAUGCAUCUGGCCUAAGGGGAGCCAGGAACCUAGGAACAGAGAGGCUCCAGAGAAGUAAAUCUCCCGUCCACCCCUCCCCUGUGCCAACACCCAUUCCCUCAUGGGCUGUUCUAACUUGUGGACAGCUGGACAUGGUCCGGAACCCCAUACCAGGCUCCUUUCUCCCCCAGUAACCUAGUGCUCACAGUGCAGAUGUUAGGUUUAGAGAGUGGAUAUACUAAUGAAAAGUCAUGUGAAACUUUAUUUUCAAUGGCUGAAUGAUUUUAAACAUUCUGUGGGAACUCAGUUAAUUUCCCAAAUGAAAAUAACUUUUUAGUAUAUGUAAAACGAAAUUUAUAACUACUGUAGAUUUGGACACAAACAAAAAAUAAACACGUAAAGAUCACCCCACAAUCCAUCAUUUGGCAAAAAACAUUUAAUAGUUUGGUAAACAUUCACUUGAUUUGCUUGGGUUAUAUUUUAUACACUGUGUGUCAUACUAUUUUGUAAUCUGUUUUUUACUAAUUCUAGUAAAAUAAUUUUCCUAUGUAAAUUGAAUAUAGUGUUUUAGUUUGUGGGAGACCCAUACUUUAUUUAACCAAUUUUUCCAUUAGUGGACCUAGAAAUUUUUUUCCAAGUUUUCCCUGUUAAAAUGAAUACGGUGAUGAAUGUUACAUGCAAACAUCAUACUGUACUUCUUUCCUUAGGAUUCUUAAUGUGAAGUAACAAUUUUAAGGAUUAAACAGGUUUAAAAGUUUGAUUCCUACAGCUUAACUCUCCUGAAGGGUCCAACAGUUUACACUCCCACCAAGAUGAGGCUCUCUUGUAUGUGUUUUACUCGGACUGUAAUACAAGGGGAAGGCAUUUACUCCGUGAGAAAAGCAGUACACAUCUUUUCUGCAGAAGUGCCCAUAUGUCCAGCCAACGCAUGCCACGAGAAAAGAAAAACAUUGAAGCACUAACGGCUUUGAGUAACCCCCCUUGUACCUCUGGUUUGCUGUUAUCCUAAUUUUAUUUUUUUUAUACUGUAAAAGGUGCACAAACUUAUAAAAAGACUAGAGUUAAGAGUCA
Molecule: long non-coding RNA, 1720 nt
Organism: Hyaena hyaena (striped hyena)
Lineage: Eukaryota; Metazoa; Chordata; Mammalia; Carnivora; Hyaenidae
Exons: 2
Source: RefSeq, a predicted model, not a curated record